This 468-nucleotide ribosomal RNA is filed under the name uncultured bacterium. RNAcentral describes it as "partial 16S ribosomal RNA". It matches the Rfam family "Bacterial small subunit ribosomal RNA", at positions 28 to 507 of the family's 1533-position model. The record is from RNAcentral.
GACGAACGCUGGCGGCGUGCUUAACACAUGCAAGUCGAACGGAAAGGCCCUGCUUUUGUGGGGUGCUCGAGUGGCGAACGGGUGAGUAACACGUGAGUAACCUGCCCUUGACUUUGGGAUAACUUCAGGAAACUGGGGCUAAUACCGGAUAGGAGCUCCUGCUGCAUGGUGGGGGUUGGAAAGUUUCGGCGGUUGGGGAUGGACUCGCGGCUUAUCAGCUUGUUGGUGGGGUAGUGGCUUACCAAGGCUUUGACGGGUAGCCGGCCUGAGAGGGUGACCGGCCACGUUGGGACUGAGAUACGGCCCAGACUCCUACGGGAGGCAGCAGUGGGGAAUAUUGCACAAUGGGCGGGAGCCUGAUGCAGCAACGCCGCGUGCGGGAUGACGGCCUUCGGGUUGUAAACCGCUUUCGCCUGUGACGAAGCGUGAGUGACGGUAAUGGGUAAAGAAGCACCGGCUAACUACGUG